RNAcentral lists this ribosomal RNA (254 nucleotides) under uncultured bacterium. RNAcentral's name for it is "partial 16S ribosomal RNA". It matches the Rfam family "Bacterial small subunit ribosomal RNA", at positions 524 to 776 of the family's 1533-position model. The record is from RNAcentral.
UACGAAGGGGGCUAGCGUUGCUCGGAAUCACUGGGCGUAAAGGGCGCGUAGGUGGCGACCCAAGUCAACGGUGAAAGCUCGACGCUCAACGUCGAGUCGGCCGUCGAUACUGGGGUUGCUCGAGCACUGUAGAGGCAGAUGGAAUUCCGGGUGUAGCGGUGGAAUGCGUAGAGAUCCGGAAGAACACCGGUGGCGAAGGCGGUCUGCUGGGCAGUAGCUGACACUGAGGCGCGACAGCGUGGGGAGCAAACAGG